RNAcentral lists this ribosomal RNA (357 nucleotides) under uncultured Anoxybacillus sp. RNAcentral's name for it is "bacterial SSU rRNA". It matches the Rfam family "Bacterial small subunit ribosomal RNA", at positions 1024 to 1382 of the family's 1533-position model. The record is from RNAcentral. Lineage: Bacteria; Bacillati; Bacillota; Bacilli; Caryophanales; Anoxybacillaceae.
ACGAGGGUGACGAGGUGGUGCAUGGUUGUCGUCAGCUCGUGUCGUGAGAUGUUGGUUAAGUCCCGCAACGAGCGCAACCCUCGACCUUAGUUGCCAGCAUUCAGUUGGGCACUCUAAGGUGACUGCCGGCUAAAAGUCGGAGGAAGGUGGGGAUGACGUCAAAUCAUCAUGCCCCUUAUGACCUGGGCUACACACGUGCUACAAUGGGCGGUACAAAGGGUCGCGAACCCGCGAGGGGGAGCCAAUCCCAAAAAAGCCGCUCUCAGUUCGGAUUGCAGGCUGCAACUCGCCUGCAUGAAGCCGGAAUCGCUAGUAAUCGCGGAUCAGCAUGCCGCGGUGAAUACGUUCCCGGGCCUU